CCCGCUGAACUUAAGCAUAUCAAUAAGCGGAGGAAAAGAAACCAACAGGGAUUACCUCAGUAACGGCGAGUGAAGCGGUAACAGCUCAAAUUUGAAAUCUGGCUCUUUCAGGGUCCGAGUUGUAAUUUGUAGAAGAUGCUUCGGGUGUGGCUCCGGUCUAAGUUCCUUGGAACAGGACGUCAUAGAGGGUGAGAAUCCCGUCUUUGACACGGACUGCCAGGGCUUUUGUGAUGCGCUCUCAAAGAGUCGAGUUGUUUGGGAAUGCAGCUCAAAAUGGGUGGUAAAUUCCAUCUAAAGCUAAAUAUUGGCGAGAGACCGAUAGCGAACAAGUACCGUGAGGGAAAGAUGAAAAGAACUUUGGAAAGAGAGUUAAACAGUACGUGAAAUUGCUGAAAGGGAAACGCUUGAAGUCAGUCGCGUCAUCCAGGGAUCAACCUUGCUUUUGCUUGGUGUACUUUCUGGUUGACGGGUCAGCAUCAAUUUUGACCAUUGGAAAAAGAUUAAGGGAAUGUGGCAUACAUAGUGAUGUGUUAUAGCCCUUGGUUGCAUACAAUGGUUGGGAUUGAGGAACUCAGCACGCCGCAAGGCCGGGUUUUUAUUAACCACGUACGUGCUUAGGAUGUUGGCAUAAUGGCUUUAAUCGACCCGUCUUGAAACACGG
RNAcentral lists this ribosomal RNA (661 nucleotides) under uncultured fungus. Its description in RNAcentral is "eukaryotic LSU rRNA". It matches the Rfam family "Eukaryotic large subunit ribosomal RNA", at positions 24 to 664 of the family's 3401-position model. Lineage: Eukaryota; Fungi. The record is from RNAcentral.